RNAcentral lists this transfer RNA (76 nucleotides) under Roseateles saccharophilus. RNAcentral describes it as "tRNA-Lys". It matches the Rfam family "tRNA". Rfam says of the family: Transfer RNA (tRNA) molecules are approximately 80 nucleotides in length. Their secondary structure includes four short double-helical elements and three loops (D, anti-codon, and T loops). Further hydrogen bonds mediate the characteristic L-shaped molecular structure. tRNAs have two regions of fundamental functional importance: the anti-codon, which is responsible for specific mRNA codon recognition, and the 3' end, to which the tRNAs corresponding amino acid is attached (by aminoacyl-tRNA synthetases). tRNAs cope with the degeneracy of the genetic code in two manners: having more than one tRNA (with a specific anti-codon) for a particular amino acid; and 'wobble' base-pairing, i.e. permitting non-standard base-pairing at the 3rd anti-codon position. Lineage: Bacteria; Pseudomonadati; Pseudomonadota; Betaproteobacteria; Burkholderiales; Sphaerotilaceae. The record is from RNAcentral. RNAcentral also lists the same sequence under 28 other names.
GGGACGUUAGCUCAGUCGGUAGAGCAGCGGACUUUUAAUCCGUUGGUCGCAGGUUCGAAUCCUGCACGUCCCACCA